UACGUAGGGGGCUAGCGUUGUCCGGAAUCAUUGGGCGUAAAGCGCGCGUAGGCGGCCCGGUAAGUCCGCUGUAAAAGUCAAAGGCUCAACCUUUGAAUGUCAGUGGAUACUGCCGGGCUAGAGUCCGGAAGAGGCGAGUGGAACUCCUGGUGUAGCGGUGGAAUGCGCAGAUAUCAGGAAGAACACCGACGGCGAAGGCAGCUCGCUGGGACGGUACUGACGCUGAGGCACGAAAGCGUGGGGAGCAAACAGG
RNAcentral lists this ribosomal RNA (253 nucleotides) under uncultured bacterium. RNAcentral's name for it is "partial 16S ribosomal RNA". It matches the Rfam family "Bacterial small subunit ribosomal RNA", at positions 524 to 776 of the family's 1533-position model. The record is from RNAcentral.